RNAcentral lists this transfer RNA (61 nucleotides) under uncultured Treponema sp. It matches the Rfam family "tRNA", at positions 7 to 64 of the family's 71-position model. Rfam says of the family: Transfer RNA (tRNA) molecules are approximately 80 nucleotides in length. Their secondary structure includes four short double-helical elements and three loops (D, anti-codon, and T loops). Lineage: Bacteria; Pseudomonadati; Spirochaetota; Spirochaetia; Treponematales; Treponemataceae. The record is from RNAcentral.
CUUAGCUCAGUUGGUAGAGCAACGGACUGUUAAUCCGUCUGUCGCAAGUUCAAUCCUUGCA